CUGGCUCAGGAUGAACGCUGGCGGCGUGCUUAACACAUGCAAGUCGAACGAAGCAACUAUCUUGCUGCAAGAGAGUGACUAGUGGCGGACGGGUGAGUAACGCGUGGGUAACCUGCCUCAUACAGGGGGAUAACAGUUGGAAACGACUGCUAAGACCGCAUAACCCGCUAGUGUCGCAUGACACGGACGGAAAAUAUUUAUAGGUAUGAGAUGGGCCCGCGUCUGAUUAGCUAGUUGGUAAGGUAACGGCUUACCAAGGCGACGAUCAGUAGCCGACUUGAGAGAGUGAUCGGCCACAUUGGGACUGAGACACGGCCCAAACUCCUACGGGAGGCAGCAGUGGGGAAUAUUGGACAAUGGGGGAAACCCUGAUCCAGCGAACCGCCGCGUGAGUGAAGAAGUAUUUCGGUAUGUAAAGCUCUAUCAGCAGGGAAGAUAAUGACAGUACCUGACUAAGAAGCCCCGGCUAACUACGUGCCAGCCGCAGC
RNAcentral lists this ribosomal RNA (488 nucleotides) under uncultured bacterium. RNAcentral describes it as "bacterial SSU rRNA". It matches the Rfam family "Bacterial small subunit ribosomal RNA", at positions 19 to 518 of the family's 1533-position model. The record is from RNAcentral.